This 253-nucleotide ribosomal RNA is filed under the name uncultured bacterium. Its description in RNAcentral is "partial 16S ribosomal RNA". It matches the Rfam family "Bacterial small subunit ribosomal RNA", at positions 524 to 776 of the family's 1533-position model. The record is from RNAcentral.
UACAGAGGGUGCGAGCGUUGUCCGGAAUCACUGGGCGUAAAGGGCGCGUAGGCGGCUCGGUAAGCGUGCGGUGAAAGCCCGGGGCUCAACCCCGGGUCGGCCGUGCGAACUGCAGAGCUGGAGCACUGUAGAGGCAGGUGGAAUUCCGGGUGUAGUGGUGAAAUGCGUAGAGAUCCGGAGGAACACCAGUGGCGAAGGCGGCUCGCUGGGCUUUACCUGACGCUGAGGCGCGAAAGCGUGGGGAGCGAACCGG